UAACUAUACAAUCUACUGUCUUUC
RNAcentral lists this non-coding RNA (24 nucleotides) under Ophiophagus hannah (king cobra). Its record names the gene oha-let-7a-2-3p. RNAcentral also lists the same sequence under 4 other names. The record is from miRBase by way of RNAcentral. Lineage: Eukaryota; Metazoa; Chordata; Lepidosauria; Squamata; Elapidae.